Long non-coding RNA from Oncorhynchus keta (chum salmon), 2724 nucleotides. RefSeq lists it as uncharacterized. The record is from RefSeq and is a predicted model, not a curated record. The transcript has 4 exons. Lineage: Eukaryota; Metazoa; Chordata; Actinopteri; Salmoniformes; Salmonidae.
GUGGGGCUAAGCAGCUUGGAAGCGUUGAUUAGUUUUCAAACUAUGAGGUUUCCUCUCUUUUCACUUGCAAUGAGAAUACCAUGCUAAUGUUAAUCACAGCCACUGACUGCCAGACUGCCACAGCGGAUGAGGUCUGCCUUAGCCUGCAUUGUAGCGGUCAAUGAGAACCCGGAGGCCCCUCCCUGGACUCUAUCAACCCCUUGGACACAGAGCUGCACCUGGACUCCAUCAACCCCAUGGACACAGAGCUGCACCUGGACUCUAUCAACCCCAUACUUAUACGCUACUAUCUAUAUUAGCAUGUAAACAUACUACCACUCGGUGGAGGCUCCUCAGAGGAGGAAGGGGAGGACCAUCCUCCUCAGUGAAUUUCAUAAAAAUAUUCCAACAAAAUUAUCCUUUUUAAAUAAAACAAUACUAAAUAUAUUUACUUUAUCAAAUUAUUGAUUAAAUCACACUGUUUUGUAAAAUGAAGGUCUACAGUCGCCUCAACAGCAUUCUCUGGGUUAGCACCGUGGUGUAGCUGGAGGACAGCUAGUUUCCGUCCUCCUCUGGGUGUAAUGACUUUAAUACAAACCUAGGAGGAACCUGAUUCUCACCCCCUUCCAUAGACUUACACAGUAACUUGGAGGAAGUCCUCCAACCUUUCAGAGCUCUUGCAGUAUUAACUGACAUGCUGAUCAAAGGAUCAGAGAACGAAUCUAGUACUGAAAGCAUAAGCUACAGCUAGCUAGCACUGCAGUGCAUAAAAUGUGGUGAGUAGUUGACUCAAAGAGAGAGAAAGACAAAAUAGUUGAACAGUUUCAAACAAAUUGAUUAAUUAAAAAAAUAUGGGAGAGAGAGAGAGAGAGAGCGAUAGCUAUGCUUCGUUGUAUAUUUUUUUUAACUUUCACUUACCUAGCUAACGAAUGCAGCUAGCUAGUUUAGCCUACUCAAACACCUGGCUCAAACAGAAAGGGAUGCUAUGCUAGCUAGCUGGCUAUGGCUAUUCAACGCUGGAUAUCUUCCAAGUCAAGGUAAGCUUUUGAUUUUAUAAAUGUAUUGCCACUGGGGCCCACUGGUGUAACUGCUGAACUGCUAGCUGAUGGGUUGUGCACUGUCCACAAGCGAAGGGAAAAGGUGAGAGGAGGAGAGUGCAUAGAUGAAAGAAGGAAUUAUACGAGCAAAUGAUUGUGCUGUUUGUAUGUAGCUGCUAUGAAAAUGAACUGUGUUUGCGGUGAUCAGGGGUGUAUUCAUUCCACCGAUUCUGUUAAGAAACGUUUCUUGAACCGAAGCAAACGGAAUGAAACAAGGAUAAACAUACUUGAAUUUGUCCAAUAGAAGCUCUCGUUUAGACUAGCGACUACACCCUAGAUAAGCUAGAUGCAGGCAAGAGUGUGCACGGCGGUAUUGAAUUUGAACAUUUAUCUUGACAAACAUUUAUCUUGACCUGUGCACAUACAUUGUAAACUUUCAUUCAUAGGCUAGGUUGUAGCAACCUCAUGAUGGGUAUAGGAAACGUUUGAGUAUCAUGUAGUAACCUAAACUUAUCGAUGUUACAUUGAGCUGGGUAAAUAAAAUAUGAAUGAUAAUCAUCUAAUAUGCUGUAAUAGAAAUAAGGCCGUGCUCAUUAAAAAACAAAUCCUCCUCCUUCGUGACACGUGUACAAUGUUUGCAAUGCAGUCUCUGAAGGUGUGCCUGGUGUGCCUUUCUCUACCUAUCCCUAGCAUCCGUUGCAUGUGAAAUGUGUUGCUAUAGAUUUGUCUGUGUGUGUGUGUGUUCCCAGGCUGGCCAGUAUCAAUGCGGUGAAGCUCUCUCGGGCGACCUGGGAGAAUGUUUCAUCCACUGUACACUACUCCUAACAGCUGCAUAGAGCUGAUUAGCUAGACAAGUUAGAGGGUCACACUCCACAUUAAAGGUUGCAAUAGCACUAGGCCGUCAUUGAAAAUAAGAACUGACUUGCCUAGUAAAAUAAAGGUAAAAAAAUUAAUUAAAUAAAAAAUAAAAAAUGAUGCUGUGAAUAUGUAUCCUUCCUGCAGUCAAAUGACCAUAUUGCCCUCUAGUGGCCUCAUGGGUGGAAUAGUAUUUAAGAUUUUUUAAAUAAUUAAUUCCUAAUGAAUAAAUAAAAAAUAAGCUGAAAAUCUGGUGUUUCUUUGUCAAAUGUUUAUGUUAUAUUUCAGUCUUCUGUGAUGUAUAUAAAGGUUCAUAUUGGGAUGCAAACUCAAAAUGUAAUACAUUUCAACAGGUGUCUUCUUUUUUUAAGCCCAUAGCCAUGUGUGUGAGAUGUUUACUUUUGUUUCAAAGUAGAUUUGUUUACGACUACCAAGAAGGUUAAUGAAGUGAGAAGAAGGCAUUGGUCUGAAGCCAAAAAAGAAAGGAAAUUCAUGGCUACUCCACCCAUGCUCUACCAAGAACAAUGUCCAGUGUGAAGUGGUUUCUCAAGACAUACCAGCCAGGAAAGUGGAACAUUUCGACGCUAAGCUGAAGCCACAGGAACCUCAACCUAGUGAUGCCGUAAUCAGACACUCCUGCACACCAAAGACAAUUGGCUAUCUGGCCACGGUUGGCCUCUUCUCAGGGGAGGUGGAGCCCUAUGGGACGACCCGAGACAAAAUUUGUCUGGAGGUUAUGGACCGCCUCAAGGCACAGCCUGAUGGGAAAUACGUGGUGGUCACGUGGUAAGGUCAUUACACACACGAAUACACUCAAACACAUACAUACACUUAAACACACACAUAUACAUAG